AGGAAAAGAAAUCAAUAGAGAUUCCCUCAGUAAAGGCGAUCGAAGAGGGAAUAGGGCAAUCCGAAUCCGCAUCCGAAAG
This 79-nucleotide ribosomal RNA is filed under the name Staphylococcus aureus. RNAcentral's name for it is "partial 23S ribosomal RNA". It matches the Rfam family "Archaeal large subunit ribosomal RNA", at positions 195 to 273 of the family's 2987-position model. Lineage: Bacteria; Bacillati; Bacillota; Bacilli; Caryophanales; Staphylococcaceae. The record is from RNAcentral.